CAGCACCCCGAGUGGUCGGGACGAUUAUUGGGCCUAAAGCAUCCGUAGCCGGUUCUGUAAGUCUCCCGUUAAAUCCAACUGCUCAACAGGUGGGCUGCGGAGGAUACUACAGAGCUAGGAGGCAGGAGAGGCAAGCGGUACUCAGUGGGUAGGGGUAAAAUCCGUUGAUCCAUUGAAGACCACCAGUGGCAAAGGCGGCUUGCCAGAAUGCGCUCGACGGUGAGGGAUGAAAGCUGGGGGAGCAAACCGGAUUAGAUACCCGAGUAGUCC
This 270-nucleotide ribosomal RNA is filed under the name uncultured archaeon. RNAcentral describes it as "partial 16S ribosomal RNA". It matches the Rfam family "Archaeal small subunit ribosomal RNA", at positions 477 to 747 of the family's 1478-position model. The record is from RNAcentral.